AAAGUUGCUGUGAAGGGAAGUAGUAGGUUCACAAUCAUUUUUAGAGAGUUAUCGGGUGGUGGAAGAUAACAAUGAGCGUAGCUGAACUCGUCCCGGAGCUAUUAGGGUGAAAUGAAAGUAAUUCUAAUCAGGUGAACUCCGUUAAAGGUUGUUGAGAUGGUUGUUUUUAAACAGGGAGCUUUUGCUUUGCUGUUUGUAUAGAUAAUCAAGUAGAGUGGUAUCGCGAUCUUUCGCCUCUAUA
This 241-nucleotide non-coding RNA is filed under the name Alkaliphilus oremlandii. RNAcentral's name for it is "T-box sequence". It matches the Rfam family "T-box leader". Rfam says of the family: Uncharged tRNA acts as the effector for transcription antitermination of genes in the T-box leader family. T-boxes are found upstream of many aminoacyl-tRNA synthetase genes and some amino acid biosynthetic genes usually in Gram-positive bacteria. The record is from RNAcentral. Lineage: Bacteria; Bacillati; Bacillota; Clostridia; Peptostreptococcales; Natronincolaceae.